GAUCAUGGCUCAGGAUGAACGCUAGCUACAGGCUUAACACAUGCAAGUCGAGGGCAGCAUCAUCAAAGCUUGCUUUGACGGAUGGCGACCGGCGCACGGGUGAGUAACACGUAUCCAACCUGCCGACAACACUGGGAUAGCCUUUCGAAAGAAAGAUUAAUACCGGAUGGCAUAGUUUUCCCCGCAUGGGAUGAUUAUUAAAGAAUUUCGGUUGUCGAUGGGGAUGCGUUCCAUUAGGCAGUUGGCGGGGUAACGGCCCACCAAGGCGACGAUCAGUAGGGGUUCUGAGAGGAAGGUCCCCCACAUUGGAACUGAGACACGGUCCAAACUCCUACGGGAGGCAGCAGUGAGGAAUAUUGGUCAAUGGACGAGAGUCUGAACCAGCCAAGUAGCGUGCAGGAUGACGGCCCUAUGGGUUGUAAACUGCUUUUAUAAGGGAAUAAAGUGGGAGUCGUGACUCUUUUUGCAUGUACCUUAUGAAUAAGGACCGGCUAAUUCCGUG
Molecule: ribosomal RNA, 502 nt
Filed under: uncultured bacterium
Lineage: Bacteria
Description: bacterial SSU rRNA
Rfam family: Bacterial small subunit ribosomal RNA
Source: RNAcentral